AUUGAACGCUGGCGGCAGGCAUAACACAUGCAAGUCGAACGCGUGGCGGACGGGUGAGUAACGUCUGGGAAACUGCCUGAUGGAGGGGGAUAACUACUGGAAACGGUAGCUAAUACCGCAUACCAACGGAUGUGCCCCUAUGGGAUUAGCUAGUAGGUGGUGUAAAGGCUCACCUAGACGACGAUCCCUAGCUGGUCUGAGAGGAUGGCCAGCCACACUGGAACUGAGACACGGCCCAGACUCCUACGUGAGGCAGCAGUGGGGAAUAUUGCACAAUGGGCGCAAGCCUGAUGCAGCCAUGCCGCGUGUAUAAAGAAGGCCUUCGGGUUUUAAAGUACUUACAGCGGGGAGGCGUUACCCGCAGAAGAAGCACCGGCUAACUCCGUGCCAGCAGCCGCGGUAAUUC
RNAcentral lists this ribosomal RNA (406 nucleotides) under uncultured bacterium. Its description in RNAcentral is "partial 16S ribosomal RNA". It matches the Rfam family "Bacterial small subunit ribosomal RNA", at positions 30 to 526 of the family's 1533-position model. The record is from RNAcentral.